UGUCGUCAGCUCGUGUUGUGAAAUGUUGGGUUAAGUCCCGCAACGAGCGCAACCCUUAUCCUUUGUUGCCAGCGGUCCGGCCGGGAACUCAAAGGAGACUGCCAGUGAUAAACUGGAGGAAGGUGGGGAUGACGUCAAGUCAUCAUGGCCCUUACGACCAGGGCUACACACGUGCUACAAUGGCGCAUACAAAGAGAAGCGACCUCGCGAGAGCAAGCGGACCUCAUAAAGUGCGUCGUAGUCCGGAUUGGAGUCUGCAACUCGACUCCAUGAAGUCGGAAUCGCUAGUAAUCGUGGAUCAGAAUGCCACGGUGAAUACGUUCCCGGGCCUUGUACACACCGCCCGUCACACCAUGGGAGUGGGUUGCAAAAGAAGUA
RNAcentral lists this ribosomal RNA (378 nucleotides) under Escherichia coli. RNAcentral's name for it is "bacterial SSU rRNA". It matches the Rfam family "Bacterial small subunit ribosomal RNA", at positions 1050 to 1428 of the family's 1533-position model. Lineage: Bacteria; Pseudomonadati; Pseudomonadota; Gammaproteobacteria; Enterobacterales; Enterobacteriaceae. The record is from RNAcentral.